UCAGGGAAGCAGUCUAGCCCAGCGGGCCCCUGGGACCUCAUUCUGUGUCUCCACUGGGUCUGCCUCGCUCCCUGGAAAAGCGAAUCAUCGUGAAUCACUUCCUCCCUGGGCCAAAAACCCAAAGCAUCCUUGACAACAUGCACCGGUGCUGGCUACCGACAGACCUUUUCAGAUGGGACAAGCCUCAAAUCAAUUUUCAUUUCUUCCAGGUGAGCUGCGGGCCUCUCUGCAAACUCGGAUCUUUCUCCAAAUGAUUCACAGAAACAAAUGCUCCCCGGAGGCAGAGGCGGGCCCACGCCUGUGUGCUGUGCUGGCGUCCCGCAACAUUAUUAAUUAAAUCUGAGACAAUA
This is a long non-coding RNA of Leopardus geoffroyi (Geoffroy's cat), 350 nucleotides long. RefSeq lists it as uncharacterized. The transcript has 2 exons. Lineage: Eukaryota; Metazoa; Chordata; Mammalia; Carnivora; Felidae. The record is from RefSeq and is a predicted model, not a curated record.